This 491-nucleotide ribosomal RNA is filed under the name uncultured bacterium. Its description in RNAcentral is "partial 16S ribosomal RNA". It matches the Rfam family "Bacterial small subunit ribosomal RNA", at positions 29 to 507 of the family's 1533-position model. The record is from RNAcentral.
GUGAACGCUGGCGGUAGGCCUAACACCUGCAAGUCGCACGGCAGCACAGUAAGAGCUUGCUCUUACGGGUGGCGAGUGGCGGACGGGUGAGGAAUACAUCGGAAUCUACUUUUUCGUGGGGGAUAACGUAGGGAAACUUACGCUAAUACCGCAUACGACCUACGGGUGAAAGCAGGGGAUCUUCGGACCUUGCGCGAUUGAAUGAGCCGAUGUCGGAUUAGCUAGUUGGCGGGGUAAAGGCCCACCAGGGCGACGAUCCGUAGCUGGUCUGAGAGGAUGAUCAGCCACACUGGAACUGAGACACGGUCCAGACUCCUACGGGAGGCAGCAGUGGGGAAUAUUGGACAAUGGGCGCAAGCCUGAUCCAGCCAUACCGCGUGGGUGAAGAAGGCCUUCGGGUUGUAAAGCCCUUUUGUUGGGAAAGAAAAGCAGCAGGUUAAUACCCCGCUGUUCUGACGGUACCCAAAGAAUAAGCACCGGCUAACUUCGUG